RNAcentral lists this ribosomal RNA (425 nucleotides) under Eutropis ashwamedhi (Ashwamedha skink). RNAcentral describes it as "partial 12S ribosomal RNA". It matches the Rfam family "Bacterial small subunit ribosomal RNA", at positions 773 to 1402 of the family's 1533-position model. The record is from RNAcentral. Lineage: Eukaryota; Metazoa; Chordata; Lepidosauria; Squamata; Scincidae.
UGGGAUUAGAUACCCCACUAUGCUUAGCCCUUAACAAAGACGGCACAACACACUACCGUUCGCCAGCAGAACUACGAGUGAAAAACUUAAAACUCCAAGGACUUGGCGGUGCUCCACAUCAUCCUAGAGGAGCCUGUCCUAUAAUCGAUACCCCCCGUUCUACCUUACCAUUUUUUGAACCACACAGCCUAUAUACCGCCGUCGUCAGCCUACCUUAUGAAAGACUAAAAGUAGGCAAAAUAGUUAAUAACUAAAACGUCAGGUCAAGGUGUAGCACAUAAAAUGGAAGAGAUGGGCUACAUUUUCUCACUUAGAACACACGAAUGAUACGGUGAAACCCGUGCCUGAAGGAGGAUUUAGCUGUAAGACAAACCAGAGAGCUUGUCUAAACCCGCCCUGGAGCGCGCACACACCGCCCGUCACCC